This 332-nucleotide unclassified non-coding RNA is filed under the name soil metagenome. RNAcentral's name for it is "partial contains 5.8S ribosomal RNA, internal transcribed spacer 2, and large subunit ribosomal RNA". The stretch from base 1 to 120 matches the Rfam family "5.8S ribosomal RNA", at positions 35 to 154 of the family's 154-position model. The record is from RNAcentral.
GAUGAAGAACGCAGCGAAAUGCGAUAAGUAGUGUGAAUUGCAGAAUUCAGUGAAUCAUCGAAUUUUUGAACGCACAUUGCGCCCUUUGGUAUCCCUUAGGGCAUGCCUGUUCGAGCGUCAUUUAAACCUUCAAGCUAAGCUUGGUGUUGGGUGACUGUCCGCUUCACGGCGGACUCGCCUCAAAAUUAUUGGCGGCCGGUACAUUGGCUUCGAGCGCAGCAGAAACGCGAACUCGGGCCCGUCGUAUUGGCUCCCAGAAGCUAUCUUCACAAUUUUGACCUCGGAUCAGGUAGGGAUACCCGCUGAACUUAAGCAUAUCAAUAAGCGGAGGA